GUAGGUGGCAAGCGUUGUCCGGAAUUAUUGGGCGUAAAGCGCGCGCAGGUGGGUUCUUUAAGUCUGAUGUGAAAGCCCCCGGGCUCAACCGGGGAGGUCAUUGGAAACUGGGGAACUUGAGUGCAGGAGAGGAAAGUGGAAUUCCACGUGUAGCGGUGAAAUGCGUAGAUAUGUGGAGGAACACCAGUGGCGAAGGCGACUUUCUGGCCUGUAACUGACACUGAGGCGCGAAAGCGUGGGGAGCAAACAGGAUUAGAUACCCUGGUAGUCCACGCCGUAAACGAUGAGUGCUAAGUGUUGGGGGGUUUCCGCCCCUCAGUGCUGCAGCUAACGCAUUAAGCACUCCGCCUGGGGAGUACGGUCGCAAGACUG
RNAcentral lists this ribosomal RNA (372 nucleotides) under uncultured organism. RNAcentral's name for it is "partial 16S ribosomal RNA". It matches the Rfam family "Bacterial small subunit ribosomal RNA", at positions 527 to 896 of the family's 1533-position model. The record is from RNAcentral.